GGGUUGUGAGGUUAAGCGACUAAGCGUACACGGUGGAUGCCCUGGCAGUCAGAGGCGAUGAAGGACGUGCUAAUCUGCGAAAAGCGUCGGUAAGGUGAUAUGAACCGUUACAGCCGGCGAUGUCCGAAUGGGGAAACCCAGUGCAAUUCGUUGCACUAUCGUUAACUGAAUACAUAGGUUAACGAGGCGAACCGGGGGAACUGAAACAUCUAAGUACCCCGAGGAAAAGAAAUCAACCGAGAUUCCCCCAGUAGCGGCGAGCGAACGGGGAGCAGCCCAGAGUCUGAAUCAGCUUGUGUGUUAGUGGAACGGUCUGGAAAGUCCGACGGUACAGGGUGAUAGUCCCGUACACCAAAAUGCACAGGUUGUGAACUCGAAGAGUAGGGCGGGACACGUGGUAUCCUGUCUGAAUAUGGGGGGACCAUCCUCCAAGGCUAAAUACUCCUGACUGACCGAUA
RNAcentral lists this ribosomal RNA (458 nucleotides) under Klebsiella pneumoniae. RNAcentral's name for it is "bacterial LSU rRNA". It matches the Rfam family "Bacterial large subunit ribosomal RNA", at positions 1 to 489 of the family's 2925-position model. Lineage: Bacteria; Pseudomonadati; Pseudomonadota; Gammaproteobacteria; Enterobacterales; Enterobacteriaceae. The record is from RNAcentral.